Musca domestica (house fly) is the source of this 395-nucleotide long non-coding RNA. RefSeq lists it as uncharacterized. The transcript has 3 exons. The record is from RefSeq and is a predicted model, not a curated record. Lineage: Eukaryota; Metazoa; Arthropoda; Insecta; Diptera; Muscidae.
AAAAAAAGGUUAAAAAAGUUUAGUCUACAUUUUUGUUGAUUUUAGUUGUGAAAAUGACCACCUCUUUAAAAAACUGUGACAUAUUUUUGGAAUGGUUAGAAGUAAAGGAUCAAAGUAUGUCAUAUGUUCUGGCAAAACUUAAAGAAUUUAUUGAGGAUCGAAUUGGAAGGAAAAUGACGGGCGAAGAACACAUAAAGGUUAAAAAUAUUUGCUACAAAUUGUCUUCUACGUGGAAAAAAUACUAUCGAAAGAGGGAUAAAGUAGAAAUGGUCUUAAAAGAUUGGUUUCUUAUGGAUACGUUUAAAUUUGAUUCGGAACCUGAUAAGUCUACAUCAAGAGGUCGACCACGCAUUAACUUUGAGGAAAGUUCAUGUAGAACAAAAAGGCGACGUGUA